GGGGAAGAAAGACCAGCAAGCUGACGACGGGGAAGAAAGACCAGCAAGCUGAUGAUGGGGAAGAAAGACCAACAUCUAAUAACCGAUGGGGGGGUCCCCCAGAGAAAUCAUCAGACUGAUCAUCUCAUGCCCAUACCUGCCCAUUAACACAAUUUCUAGGCAACUUUAAAUUCUUUUCCAUUAAAGUUUAUCGCAAGAUACUGAAUAUACAACUGCAUCUGCCAAUCCCAGACCCUCAGUCUGCCCCCCCCAACCCUAUCUGUUUUCUGUGUCCAUGUGUCUGUUUCUGUUUUGUAAAUAAGUUCAUUUGUAUCAUUUUGUAGAUUCCAUAUGUAAGGGAUAUUAUACUUGCCUUUCUCUGACGUCACCUAGUAUGAUAAUCUCUAGGUUCAUCAACUAGGCAACUUUUAAGUGUUUCAUUUUUUAUUUUUUUAAGAUUAAAAAAUUUGUUUUAAUACAUUGAUUUUUAUUUUUUUCCAUUAUAGCUGGUUGACAGUGUUCUGUCAGUUUUCUGCCGUACAGCAUGGUGACCCAGUUACACCAUGUAUGCAUUCUUUUUUCUCACAUCAUCAGGCUCCAUCACAAAUGACCAAACGUAGUUCCCAGAACUACACAGCAGGAUCUCAUUGCUAAUCCACUCCAAAGGCAACAGUCUGCAUCUGUGAACCCCAAGCAGCCCAUCCAUCCCGUUCCCUCCCCUCAUUUUAAAAUAUGAAGCUAAGGAUCAAACAUUUUAGGAUAACCAUAAUAAGAAAGGGAAGAAGGAAAUAUGAACAAUUCAAGAAGAAAACUUCUUUUGAAAGUUAUAUGUCUCUGGAAGAAGGGAUAAUUUUAUCUUUGACCAUGAAAGGAUGCUAGUUUAAAAAAAAGCAAUCCUCAGAAAACAGAGAUGAGCUCAGACAUUUAGAAUGUGAAAUAAUAGAAGAGUUAAAAAUUUAGGAUAUUAAACUUCUCGUAGAAGGUUAGAAGAUAAAAUUGAGAAAAUCUUUUCACAAAGUAGG
RNAcentral lists this long non-coding RNA (1001 nucleotides) under Sus scrofa (pig). RNAcentral's name for it is "lncRNA (ENSSSCG00065029544.1)". Lineage: Eukaryota; Metazoa; Chordata; Mammalia; Artiodactyla; Suidae. The record is from RNAcentral.